Molecule: long non-coding RNA, 409 nt
Organism: Sinocyclocheilus rhinocerous
Lineage: Eukaryota; Metazoa; Chordata; Actinopteri; Cypriniformes; Cyprinidae
Exons: 3
Source: RefSeq, a predicted model, not a curated record
UCUUUGUCUUCAGUCUGUGUGGAUGCAGUAUUAUAGAGAAACAGUGUCUCAUCCUGACUUCAGCUCUGAAAUCAAACCCAUCACACCUGAGAGAACUGGACCUCAGUGUGAAUAAAAUAAAAACCACAGGAUUGAAUCACUUAUGUGAUGUACUGAAGGAUUCACACUGUAAACUGGAGAGAUUGAGUCUAAAGGACUGUGGCAUUACAGAUGUUUCUUCUUUAACUCAGUCUUUGACAAACACAAAAGCACUGCAUUUUUUAAAAGAGCUUGAUCUGAGAAAUAAUAUGACAAGAGACUCAAAGCAGCAACUCAUAGAUGUACUACGAGACUCAAACUGCAAUCUGAGGUGGGCGAUUCCUUGUGUUAAUUUGCCGGAGUCUGCGAUUGGUUCUCUUCCUUACCGGAC